AACGAACGCUGGCGGCAUGCCUAACACAUGCAAGUCGAACGAGACCUUCGGGUCUAGUGGCGCACGGGUGCGUAACGCGUGGGAACCUGCCUUUAGGUUCGGAAUAACUCAGAGAAAUUUGAGCUAAUACCGGAUAAUGUCUUCGGACCAAAGAUUUAUCGCCUUUAGAUGGGCCCGCGUUGGAUUAGCUAGUUGGUGGGGUAAAGGCCUACCAAGGCGACGAUCCAUAGCUGGUCUGAGAGGAUGAUCAGCCACACUGGGACUGAGACACGGCCCAGACUCCUACGGGAGGCAGCAGUGGGGAAUAUUGGACAAUGGGCGAAAGCCUGAUCCAGCAAUGCCGCGUGAGUGAUGAAGGCCUUAGGGUUGUAAAGCUCUUUUACCCGAGAUGAUAAUGACAGUAUCGGGAGAAUAAGCUCCGGCUUAACUCCGUGCCAGCAGCCGCGGUAAAGUGACU
This 457-nucleotide ribosomal RNA is filed under the name uncultured bacterium. Its description in RNAcentral is "bacterial SSU rRNA". It matches the Rfam family "Bacterial small subunit ribosomal RNA", at positions 29 to 530 of the family's 1533-position model. The record is from RNAcentral.